GUUAUCCGGAAUUAUUGGGCGUAAAGCGUCCGUAGGUUUUUUGUUAAGUUUAAAGUUAAAUGCUAAAGCUCAACUUUAGUCCGCUUUAGAUACUGGCAAAAUAGAAUUAUGAAGAGGUUAGCGGAAUUCCUAGUGGAGUGGUGGAAUACGUAGAUAUUAGGAAGAACACCAAUAGGCGAAGGCAGCUAACUGGUCAUAUAUUGACACUAAGGGACGAAAGCGUGGGGAGCAAACAGGAUUAGAUACCCUGGUAGUCCACGCCGUAAACGAUGAUCAUUAGUUGGUGGCAAAAGUCACUAACACAGCUAACGCGUUAAAUGAUCCGCCUGAGUAG
RNAcentral lists this ribosomal RNA (334 nucleotides) under Mesomycoplasma hyopneumoniae. RNAcentral's name for it is "bacterial SSU rRNA". It matches the Rfam family "Bacterial small subunit ribosomal RNA", at positions 540 to 880 of the family's 1533-position model. Lineage: Bacteria; Bacillati; Mycoplasmatota; Mycoplasmoidales; Metamycoplasmataceae. The record is from RNAcentral.